UGGGACAUUUUUCCUUCGCUGAUUGCUUCCUUCCCCAAUGAGUCAACAAUCUUCAUUCGUCUGUCCUUUGAUGACCUCCGGCCUACAUAUCUCUGGGGUAUUCCUCCUCCUGAAUUCUCAAUUUGGGAUGCUCCAAUAAAAGAAGCAACACUUAAUUCACUGCCACAAAAAACACAGUUUUGUCUGAUUUUUCCACAGAAUCGACCCCGGUUUAUCCUUGUACUUGGCAGGAUCCCAGCCGAGUCAAGUCAAGUCAGCCAGCUCCUGGGCCUCAUUAGACUGAAACCAUCAUGCCACUGCCCAAAGAUAUCGUGAAGAUCGCCGUGCAGAUGCCUGGGGCCUACCCUCAGCUGAUCGACCUCGAUCAGAAAAAGCCCUUGUCAACCGUCCUGAAGGAGGUCUGCGACGUCUGGAACAAGAGUAACCCUGAUCAGUAUGCCCUGCAGUACGCUGAUGGGAUACAGACGUACAUCACAGAGACG
Molecule: non-coding RNA, 482 nt
Organism: Chiloscyllium plagiosum (whitespotted bambooshark)
Lineage: Eukaryota; Metazoa; Chordata; Chondrichthyes; Orectolobiformes; Hemiscylliidae
Source: RefSeq, a predicted model, not a curated record